Long non-coding RNA from Cercocebus atys (sooty mangabey), 1544 nucleotides. RefSeq lists it as uncharacterized. Lineage: Eukaryota; Metazoa; Chordata; Mammalia; Primates; Cercopithecidae. The record is from RefSeq and is a predicted model, not a curated record. The transcript is spliced from 3 exons.
CUGACCUCGUGAUCCGUCCGCCUCGGCCUAUGGAAGUGCUGGGAUUACAGGCAUGAGCCACCGCACCCGGCCGAGGGUGGGGGUUUUAAAGGUAAUUUGGUGAGCAGGAGGCUGGAAAAUAGGGAAUGCUGAUUGGUCGUGAAAAGGAUGUAUCACAGGGAGUCUAAGCUGUCUUCUUGCACUGAGUCAGUUCUUGGCUAGGGGCCACUGGAGCAGGUGAGCCAGUUUAUUGGUCUGUGUGAUGCCAGCUAAUCCAUCAGAAUGAAGGGUCUCAGAAAUACCUCAAACACCAAUCUUAGGUCUUACAACAAUAUUAUCCACAGGAGCAAGUGGCAAGGUUGGGAAUCUUGUGUCCUCUGGCCGCAUAUUUCCUGAACCAUAAUUUCUAAUCUUGUGGCUAAUUUCUUAGUUUUACAAAGGCAAUCUGGUUCCCAAGCAAGGAGAUGAUUUCUUUUGGGAAGCGGCAGUUACAACUUUUGCUUUAAAGCUAAACUAAACUCCUUCUAAUAUUAGUAAGACCUAUAACCAGGAAUGAACAGGGGUAGCUUGGAGGCUAAAGAAAACGUGGAGUUGCUUAGAUCUGAUCUCUUUCACUGUCAUCAUUUUCACUGUUAUAAUUCUUGCAAAGGAGUUUUCAGAUGUAGAGUCAUAAUUUUAGCUCCUGGCAACAUUUAUGUUGGAAUUUGUAUACAGCAACUAAAUCACUGGAACAGGAUAAUUGGUUGAGGAUUUACUAACUGUUCCAUCAGGCAGAAGUGGCACUCUUUUGAUUUAACUGAAAGCACUAUUUCUUGAGCCAUGGAAACUGAGUAUAGCAAUGAUAUGUGAUCUAAAGAAUGUUCCCACUCUGCUUCUUCUCUCUAGUGAAGUCCUGCCACGCACCUUACUACUUCCACUGCCACUUUUUCCUCCUCCAAAUGUGGCUAAGCAAUUACUUCCCUUAUGGAAGACUGCAAAGAUGAAAACAUGGCUAGGUUGAUGGGGUCACUCUGAGACAAGGUAGACUUAUGUUAUACUUUUUGCAAAGGUGACUUCAGAUAUGGAAUCAUAAUUUUAGCUGCUGGCAGCAAUGACGUUGGAAUUCACAUACAGACACUAAAUGACCAGAAAAGGACAAGUCGUUGAAGGUUUACUAAUUGUUCCCUCAAGUGGAAGUGCCAUUCCCUAUUGAUUUAACUGACAGCAUUAUAUCCUCAGCCAUGGACACUGAGUACAGCAAUAAUGUGAUCUAAAGAACUUUCUACUCUGAGGGCCAGGUGCAGUGGCUCACGCCUGUAAUCUCAACACUUUAGGAGGCCAAGGAAGGCAGAUCACAUAAGGUUUCUUCCUGAAGGACUUGAAGUCACUUCCUCUACCCAGGGUCUCACCCUGUGGCCCAGGCUGCCCUCCAGUGAUGCCAUCAUGAGUCAGUGCAACUUCAAACUCCCCGGUUCAAGUGAUCUUCCAUCCUGACCUCCAAAAGGGCUGGAUUAUACAUAUAAGCCAUGUCACACUUUAUAUGUUUCUAGGGAAGCUUUUCUAAGAAUAAAUACAUUGGAACUAGG